AUUUGCAUAAAAGUAAGAGGGCACUAAAUAACGAACAUUCUUGAAAAAAUCGGGAUUUUGACCAAAUUUCAUUUUUUUUAGAGGUUAUGAAGGGGUGGCAACUAUCUAAACUUAUGUUAGUGUAUACUCAAAAGUAUCCUUAAUAUCACUAUUAAAACAAAACUCAUGCACUCCGAUUUGCAUAAAAGUAAGAGGGCACUAAAUAACGAACAUUCUUGAAAAAAUCGGGAUUUUGACCAAAUUUCAUUUUUUUUAGAGGUUAUGAAGGGGUGGCAACUAUCUAAACUUAUGUUAGUGUAUACUCAAAAGUAUCCUUAAUAUCACUAUUAAAACAAAACUCAUGCACUCCGAUUUGCAUAAAAGUAAGAGGGCACUAAAUAACGAACAUUCUUGAAAAAAUCGGGAUUUUGACCAAAUUUCAUUUUUUUUAGAGGUUAUGAAGGGGUGGCAACUAUCUAAACUUAUGUUAGUGUAUACUCAAAAGUAUCCUUAAUAUCACUAUUAAAACAAAACUCAUGCACUCCGAUUUGCAUAAAAGUAAGAGGGCACUAAAUAACGAACAUUCUUGAAAAAAUCGGGAUUUUGACCAAAUUUCAUUUUUUUUAGAGGUUAUGAAGGGGUGGCAACUAUCUAAACUUAUGUUAGUGUAUACUCAAAAGUAUCCUUAAUAUCACUAUUAAAACAAAACUCAUGCACUCCGAUUUGCAUAAAAGUAAGAGGGCACUAAAUAACGAACAUUCUUGAAAAAAUCGGGAUUUUGACCAAAUUUCAUUUUUUUUAGAGGUUAUGAAGGGGUGGCAACUAUCUAAACUUAUGUUAGUGUAUACUCAAAAGUAUCCUUAAUAUCACUAUUAAAACAAAACUCAUGCACUCCGAUUUGCAUAAAAGUAAGAGGGCACUAAAUAACGAACAUUCUUGAAAAAAUCGGGAUUUUGACCAAAUUUCAUUUUUUUUAGAGGUUAUGAAGGGGUGGCAACUAUCUAAACUUAUGUUAGUGUAUACUCAAAAGUAUCCUUAAUAUCACUAUUAAAACAAAACUCAUGCACUCCGAUUUGCAUA
RNAcentral lists this long non-coding RNA (1059 nucleotides) under Anthonomus grandis grandis. RNAcentral's name for it is "uncharacterized LOC126750215". Lineage: Eukaryota; Metazoa; Arthropoda; Insecta; Coleoptera; Curculionidae. The record is from RNAcentral.